CCAAGGAUAAGGGAGGAUAACAUAUGGAUGAGAAACUAUAAACCAAAAGAAAUAGAGGAGCAACGGGGAACAAGUGCAAACACAUUCAAACACACCCAAAACCUCUAAUUCAAUCCUCUUCUUGACUCCAUUAUUCACAAAACAAUUUUUUUUUAUUUUUCUCAUUUUUCUGUAUUUUUUUUUCUUUUUUUUUUCAUCUUGUCUCUUUUCUUUUCUCUCUUUUCAGAACACAACUCUAAGAGACAAGAUACACAACAUAUUUACAAAAC
RNAcentral lists this long non-coding RNA (269 nucleotides) under Vigna radiata. Its description in RNAcentral is "long non-coding RNA (VRAD_LNC004675)". Lineage: Eukaryota; Viridiplantae; Streptophyta; Magnoliopsida; Fabales; Fabaceae. The record is from RNAcentral.